Molecule: ribosomal RNA, 468 nt
Filed under: uncultured bacterium
Lineage: Bacteria
Description: partial 16S ribosomal RNA
Rfam family: Bacterial small subunit ribosomal RNA
Source: RNAcentral
GACGAACGCUGGCGGCGUGCUUAACACAUGCAAGUCGAACGGAAAAGCCCUGCUUUUGUGGGGUGCUCGAGUGGCGAACGGGUGAGUAACACGUGUGUAACCUGCCCUUGACGUUGGGAUAACUUCAGGAAACUGGGGCUAAUACCGGAUAGGAGCUACUGCUGCAUGGUGGGGGUUGGAAAGAUUCGGCGGUUGGGGAUGGACUCGCGGCUUAUCAGCUUGUUGGUGGGGUAGUGGCUUACCAAGGCUUGGACGGGUAGCCGGCCUGAGAGGGUGACCGGCCACAUUGGGACUGAGAUACGGCCCAGACUCCUACGGGAGGCAGCAGUGGGGAAUAUUGCACAAUGGGCGGAAGCCUGAUGCAGCCACGCCGCGUGCGGUAUGACGGCCUUCGGUUUGUAAACCGCUGUCGCCUGUGACGAGGCGUUAGUGACGGUAAUGGGUAAAGAAGCACCGGCUAACUACGUG